UGGGGGAUAUUGCACAAUGGGCGAAAGCCUGAUGCAGCGACGCCGCGUGGGGGAUGAAGGCCUUCGGGUUGUAAACUUCUUUUGCUCUGAACAAGGCAUGCUAAUGGGUGUGUUGAGUGUAGGGGUUGAUUAGCGCCGGCUAACUACGUGCCAGCAGCCGCGGUAAUACUUAGGGCGCGAGCGUUGUCCGGAAUUAUUGGGCGUGAAGGGCUUGUAGGUGGCUGGUUGCGUCUGUCGUGAAAGCUCAUGGCUUAACUGUGGGUUUGCGGUGGGUACGGGCUGGUUUGAGUGCAGUAGGGGAGGCUGGAAUUCCUGGUGUAGCGGUGGAAUGCGCAGAUAUCAGGAGGAAUACCGGUGGCGAAGGCGGGUCUCUGGGCUGUUACUGACACUGAGGAGCGAAAGCAUGGGGAGCGAACAGG
This 419-nucleotide ribosomal RNA is filed under the name bacterium. Its description in RNAcentral is "partial 16S ribosomal RNA". It matches the Rfam family "Bacterial small subunit ribosomal RNA", at positions 355 to 776 of the family's 1533-position model. The record is from RNAcentral.